CUCCUUCUCUGCUCCAUCUGUCCCUCCCCCCAUCAUCUCUCCUCUUUCUCUCCUUCCUCCCUCUCUCUACCAAAGCCUGGGGGAGCCAGAGAGAUUAAAUGUAGCCUCUAUAAGCCAAAGCACAUCAUGUAGCAAUGUUUCUAUGGCCCCUUCACUCUCACACUCUCUCACUCUCUCUCCCUCGCUGUCUGUCUCUCCCUGUCUUUCUGAAGGGAUAGUGUGAAUGAUGUCGGCCCAUGUGAGGCAGAAAGAAAGGCAGACAGUGCAAGCAAUGGAAAAAGUGGAUUUUUUUUUGCCCUUUUUUUGCAUGCAUGCUAAAGGAGAACAGAGGAUUUGUAUUAUGGGUGGAAAACGGACAACAGCAAGGUGGAAAAAACAACGAAAGGAGGACUACUUUCUCUCUAACUCUCUCUCACCUCUCUCUCUUCCUCCUCACCCCUCUCUCUCUCAUCUGAUACAGAGGAAAAGUGGGCCUCUGGCUGUAAGCGAUUACAGCUGUGAGGCAAAUUAAUGGAUGAUACCCCCCACUCCCCCACCCCUCCUCCUCCUCCUCCUCCUUCUUCUUCUUCUUCUUUUUUGAAGUGUUUCUUUUCCUGCCGAUCAACACUGGAUGCACAAAGAAAAAAGAGCCAGAGGGGAAAGAAAGAGUGAAAGAAAGAUUGCGCGAAAGAGGCAGGCAGCGGGGCUAGAAGAACAACGAACAGGGGCAUCCUGGUCCAAAUGAGGGGAGGGGCACUUCUUCCCACUGCAGAGGGACUCACUACCCCCUUCCAGACGGCCAGUGAAACAAGAUGGCGUUGCAGCUCCACGUGGGCCCUCCCGCGCUGCCUCAUGCCCGCUACCUAUGGCACCAGAAAACCAUGGAGGUCAUUUUUGGAAUUGUUGCACACCUGGGGCCUAUUUACUCGCCACAUAGCUGAAAUUUCUGAGGCACUUCUCCAGUACUGUAGCUUGGCCGACUUUAAAAGAUUUAGGAUUUGGGGCAGAUCCAGUACUUUCAUUGUUUUUCUUGUUAGUUUUUUCACUCCGUCUGUGUAUCAGCUGCCAAACUGUAUGCUGUUUUGUCUGCAAUCUGGGCGGUAUUAAAUGCUCUGGUGGGGCGGACAAGCAAGUUCUCAGCAUGAUUUGUCCUUAUGUGUGUGCGUUUAUUUGUGUGCGUCUGUCCUGUCCGAGGUUGAGGCCAAUAUAAAGGAGCUUGGGGAUUGUGUGCAGCCACAUAACACUAUCAGAUUAUCCAGACUACACACUAACCUCAUUAAUCUGAGAGACUAAUGUCACCAACAAUGUGUCAACCAUCACACACACAGACACACUCCUUUAAAACUGUCCUCUUUGUCUGCAUCGAAUAGAAACACAGGUAUUAAUGACCUGAGGCCGAGGUCUCUUCCUCCCCCCACGGGCCUGUCCUGCUGCAGGUCAUGUUGGAUUUAAGGCGAGGCUGGAAAUCCCCUGAUGAAUCAACAUUUAACACUUUGCUGCCACGUCAACCAAUGUUGCAACCUUUUUUUUUUGUGUGUGUUGGGGGGGGUGGGGGGGGGGGGUAUGGUUGAGGGAAAACAGCUUAAGCACAUUGGCUGCCGUUAACGUUUUGGAUAAUUUUCUGCCUGAACAGCCUUGAUACCAGGAAGCUGUGCAGCUGUGAUCUGUUAUUUUCUCUCUGGGUGUAAAAGACUCAAUUUAGGAGUUUCAAAUUUGUCUCCAUUGCUUUUUUUUCAACUAAGUUGGCACAUUUUGAAGGGCCAUAUCAAUCUCAUCUAUCUGAUAAUGAUGUUUGUGUCACAGGAGCUGAAGACAGAAUGAUGGUUUUCACUGUCUGUAAUGCACAGGCUCUUUACCUUUUCUUUAUUUGAAGAGUUUUAUGUAACAAACACAAGGCUUUGUGAGAAACAGCAUUUUGACAAAAAUAGCAUAGUUGAUGUUUUUCCUUGUUUUCAAAAAUUUAAAAAAUUCUGACAAAAUCUGUGUUUAAGAAAAGAUGAAUCUGAUUUGUCCUGAAUAAGAAGUUGAGAUAUCACAGCAACUCACUGAUAAUGAUAAUACUGUCAUAAACUGUAAUACACAGCACUGCCAUGUAGAAAUACAAUUUACUAUUAUUAUUUUAUUAAUAUGUAUUAAUUAUUUACUACUUAUAAUUUUUUAUACAUUGAGUUUACAGAGUAACUUUUCAAUAGCAUAUAUCAAUUUGAAAUUUUACAAACAUAUUUUCAGUUUCAGUAGCUUUCAAUUAAGCAAACUUGAGACAAGUUGAUAUAUUAUCCUAAUAUUUAAUGUAUGAGAGGUUGAAUAAGUCAGUUAUGAUAGCUUCUACUAAACUGUGUAGGUGUUACAAGCUUCACAUGCAGGUGGUAGCAACUCAGUGCACUCUUUAUCCACUUGUGUAAUGGUACUGAAUGUGUUUUAUUUUGUGAUUUAUGUUAUGCACACUUUUCUCAUGUGGAAUCCUACUUGUUUAAUCUCCCUCAAUUUCUGCAUUUGGUCCAUUUGUAAAGUCUCAUUCACUAUUUGACGUUUUACUACGUUUUGUUGUAACAGAACGCUGUUAUGGCAAGUAAAAUAUGAUUUUCUGACGAUGUUAUAUUAAUCAUUCAGCUUUGUGCUUCUUCUGCCUCUGUCCAGUCGCUGUUGGAAACACUGCUACUCUACCGAUGUUAAAGUUUGUUUACUUAUUUUGGAGUUGUGAGUUAGAUGACAUUGCUCACUUUGGAGACACUGUGACAUUCAUGUUUUGCCGUUACAGUGAAAAUAAAUUGUGACGUUACAAACUUUUUCAAUAAAUACUUAAUAUUUGUCUGCCUAUGUCCUAUAUGAUAUGUGUGUUUUUGCUUUUACAGCUACUCCUAUGUGCUGACCUCAGAAUAUGUGACAUAAAGUACAUUAUGUGUGUUUUCAGUGACUGGAUCAACUAAAAAUAAAAUGUGAUAAGAUUUCUUUUUAGAAUUAGAUUUAUUUACCGUGGUUUACUGAAGCUGUGUUUGCUCAUGAGGUACGACCACGUUUAACAAUGACAAUAAUGCACUUACUUCUUUCUUGUCCUAAAUAAAGCGAGUGAUAUGGGAGCAGUUCAGUGAGUGCAGAGGUUCUGCAGAGGCCUGCUGCUCAGAUAGAGACAUCUUACAGUUGUAUCUAAAUAAAGCCUUGACGCUGUCAUUUCACAUCAUUGUCAAUUCUUUCAACUGUCAGACUUAUUAAUAGAAGCCCUGAAUGAGUGGUGGGAUUUUUUCUUCUGUGCAGUCAGACCAUAUGACAUGAUUUAUAUUUUAUCUUUUUAUACCUUUUAAAGUCUCGAUCUCUGUGACAACAACACUCAUUCUUUGGUUUUGAUGUGCUCAGCCAUAUAAUACAAUCCUCUUUGUCAACGGAAACAUGGCGCAGUAUAUGAACCUCAACACAACUACACAUUAGAGUACGGUUGUUUGUUAAACAGCUUGUAAAACCACAAUAAUACAUUAUUAAUUAGUGUUUGUCAUGGUAAUUAGAUGUACACAAAUAGAGUAAAUAUUUAAUUAGUAAUGCAAAUAUCCCUUUCAUUUUAAGUAUGUGUUUAUAGGAAUAGUAGUGUUGCAAUGAUUUAUCCAGUAGGUGGUGAUUCUUAAAUGAAUCAUCAGCUAUUUUGAUCUAAACCUUAGAUUGGCUGAUUGGUCUGCUUCUUAAAUGUGAAUAUUUUCUGGGGGUUUUUUGUCUGUCCUUCUUUAUUAUUAAACUGAGUAGUUCUGGGCUGUAGAUUAGACAAGACAUUUAAGGACAUCAUCUUGGCCCAUAAAAAUCUAUUUCUCCAAUUUGUGACAUUUUAUAAACCAGACAAUAAAUUGAGAAAGUAAUCAACAGUGAAAAUAAUUGUUAGCUGCUAGAGUGGACUGGUCAGAAAAAAAAUUCCUCUGCUUCUGUAACCAUGAGGCCAAAAAGACACAGUUUAGAGUUGAGUAAGUAUCAGUAUCAUGAAGUCAUAAGUGAAUAAUAACCAGAUGUCAAUUUUUUAUUACCUGUCUGCGUUGAAAAGCGAUGCUAAAACCAUUCCUGAGAGGCUUUUCAAUCCUUCUGAAACACAGUGACUUUUUGGCUAUAACUUAUUUGUCAGAUUUUCAGUCACUCCUGUUUGUCAGUCCACUUUUGUCACUUUUGCGUUGAUACUUUGCGUCCUCGUGUUCAGUGUCGACUCCUCUGUGUGCUUUCUUUGUUCUGAAACUGCUCUAAAACAGCCUCGUCUUCCUCUCUUCUGCAGCUCAUCAGACCCAGGUCAGGACAUGUCGAAGGAAUGGUCCAUGAAUAUGAGCCGGAUAUGACAACUUCUCAGAAGAAAGCGAGAAAUAAAUUGCAACUGCCCAUACACACACACACACACACACACACACACACACACACACACACACACACACACACACACACAGACUCUUCAGGUUGUACAGGAUACCUUGACCAGGAUGGUAACACUCCUAAAGUAAAAUGUGUUUUCUUUUAAAUAUUUUCCCUUACUUGCGCAUAAUAUGUGAUGCUAAUAAAUAUUUUAUUAAAAAAGUCUGCCUUUUCUUAUUUCUUCUUAUGGAUGAAGGUAAAACACUUACCACACAUACGUAGAUGCUACUCUGUAUUUUAUUGCUUCCAAUGCUUUUUGUGCCAGCAAAAAUAAUUAAUAUAUGCCAUUAGUAAAACAUGGAAUUAAGUGGUUUUAGGUAAUACUUGGCAUUGGUUAUGCUUUUAGCAACUUCUAACAACAAAACAUAUGUUAAAGUAA
Long non-coding RNA from Sphaeramia orbicularis (orbiculate cardinalfish), 4729 nucleotides. RefSeq lists it as uncharacterized. The transcript is spliced from 3 exons. NCBI's taxonomy places the organism in Eukaryota, Metazoa, Chordata, Actinopteri, Kurtiformes, Apogonidae. The record is from RefSeq and is a predicted model, not a curated record.